CUCAGAGUCCACACCAUUCUGAUGGCCCCUGACAUCCUCUGUUCUUGGAAGCUGAGCAGAUUUGGGACUGGUUAGUACUUGGACGGGGAGAAAUGGCUCUCGGAGU
Molecule: ribosomal RNA, 106 nt
Filed under: Meriones unguiculatus (Mongolian gerbil)
Lineage: Eukaryota; Metazoa; Chordata; Mammalia; Rodentia; Muridae
Source: RNAcentral